RNAcentral lists this ribosomal RNA (253 nucleotides) under uncultured bacterium. RNAcentral describes it as "partial 16S ribosomal RNA". It matches the Rfam family "Bacterial small subunit ribosomal RNA", at positions 524 to 776 of the family's 1533-position model. The record is from RNAcentral.
UACGUAGGGGGCGAGCGUUGCCCGGAUUCACUGGGCGUAAAGCGGGUGUAGGCGGUUCUUUAAGUCGGAUGUGAAAUCCCUCGGCUUAACCGGGGAACUGCAUCUGAUACUGGAUGGCUUGAGUUUGGGAGAGGGAUGCGGAAUUCCAGGUGUAGCGGUGAAAUGCGUAGAUAUCUGGAGGAACACCGGUGGCGAAGGCGGCAUCCUGGACCAACACUGACGCUGAGGAGCGAAAGCCAGGGGAGCAAACGGG